CAACAACGGAUCUCUUGGUUCUGGCAUCGAUGAAGAACGCAGCGAAAUGCGAUAAGUAAUGUGAAUUGCAGAAUUCAGUGAAUCAUCGAAUCUUUGAACGCACAUUGCGCCCCUCGGUAUUCCGGGGGGCAUGCCUGUUCGAGCGUCAUUGUACCCCU
RNAcentral lists this ribosomal RNA (158 nucleotides) under Rhizoplaca mcleanii. RNAcentral's name for it is "Rhizoplaca macleanii 5.8S ribosomal RNA". It matches the Rfam family "5.8S ribosomal RNA". Rfam says of the family: 5.8S ribosomal RNA (5.8S rRNA) is a component of the large subunit of the eukaryotic ribosome. It is transcribed by RNA polymerase I as part of the 45S precursor that also contains 18S and 28S rRNA. Lineage: Eukaryota; Fungi; Ascomycota; Lecanoromycetes; Lecanorales; Lecanoraceae. The record is from RNAcentral.